AAGUCGUAACAAGGUUUCCGUAGGUGAACCUGCGGAAGGAUCAUUAUUGAAUUGUGAAUGGGGCUUGAUGCUGGCUUGUCCAUCCUUUGGCUGCAUGUGCUCCCCGGGCAAUCCUUUUCCAACACCUGUGCACUUCCUUGUGAGAAUGGGAGAGAAAGGGCUUGCCUCUUUUAUCUCGUCUCAGAUCAUAAACGCUGUUUGUAAUGUUGAUGCAUUUAUGCCGUCAAAGGCUUAACCUAAUACAA
RNAcentral lists this unclassified non-coding RNA (245 nucleotides) under plant metagenome. RNAcentral's name for it is "partial contains small subunit ribosomal RNA and internal transcribed spacer 1". The stretch from base 1 to 46 matches the Rfam family "Eukaryotic small subunit ribosomal RNA", at positions 1786 to 1831 of the family's 1831-position model. The record is from RNAcentral.